This is a long non-coding RNA of Equus caballus (horse), 1611 nucleotides long. The record is from Ensembl. Lineage: Eukaryota; Metazoa; Chordata; Mammalia; Perissodactyla; Equidae.
UUUUUAUGUGGGAAGGCAGUAGAAUGCUGCUUUCUGGCACACGUGAAUUCAGAGAAGAUUCUCUCUCUCUCUACAUCAUGAAAGUGAUUGCCUGAAGAGGCGCUUGAUUGGACCGAGAGGUUAAAACAAAUACAAGGACGUGACACUGGGAAAGUUAGACCAUAAGAAGACUUUCAGAAGCGUUCUGCUUCCACUGGGUCCAAGUAGCUCUCAUCAGACCAGCCCUCCUGGGAUCAAUAAAAAACGUUCAAUUCCUGAGAAACACAAAUAAAACAACUACUUGAUGACACUGGAGUGUGAAGAAAAGCAGGCAGAAACUAGAGGAGGGAUGAUGCUUGGAAGAAAGGAAAGAAACCUGGUGAGUUUCCUGUUUGGAAACACUUAUCUGGGGGCAGAUCCAGUCUACACCACGAGGAACAGCCAGAACUGAUGGAAAUGCACAAUCUUACUUCCUUGAAGAACCAGAAGACAGGGUUCGGAGUGCAGCUACAGCCACUGGAAUAUGAGGAGGAAAAUACCAGAAAAGGAGAAAGCUAGAGAAGGACUUGCAGACACCUCACCUGCCACCAAUUCCUGGAGAUGUUUUCUUGGACCUCCCCUCAUUUUCCUACAAUUAAGAUAGAAUCUCUUACACCUUUUCCUACCUUGUUGUUGAGUCAUUACUUGCAAGGAAUAAAAACACACUGAAAUGGCUCGGCAACAAGAAAGAGGAGUCAGAUAGAUCAUCCUCUGCCUGAAGUUUCAACGAACAGCGACCCCUGGACAAAUCAAAGUAAAGAAGAAAGGCGAUUUUCAGAAGGUUUUUGCCUAAGCUCUCGAAGGUCACUGGCACACUCAACGCCUAUGGAGACUGAGGAAGCUAGCUCCUUGACUAAUGGCAGACGUCGGUAACUGUCACUGAUAUGAUAGAUGCUGAUGGAGACGUAUUAAAAUCUCCCAGCUUAAAGGGCAGGUCUCCUGACCUUUUCCUCAGGAUCCUGAGGUCGGCUCUCCUUCCUCUCUCUUCCUUGUGGCGACUUCCAAUCUUUCAACAAGUGCUGUCAAUCGUGUCUUCUCCACACAUUCAAGAAAAGAUUGAUAGAGCGGUUAACAACAGGCCUCAGGUGUGAACAUAUUCACUAGGAAUGUUACAUAAGACGAACGUCUGUGGGGAGGCGGAGUGGAAUUUUGAGGACAAAGAAAAAACAGCGAAGGUUUUUGAUUCUUCGAGAAAAAUGUGAUGAUUAAUUGUUUUGGUUGGUAAGGGCGAGCGUCCAGUCGUUGUGGCCUUAGAUUCUAUCAGUUGCAUUCAACCCGCCUGGCCCCGAACACACAUGGGCCUGGGGGCCGGGUGCCCGGGAGGCCCACCGACUCUGUGCUUACAUAUUGAGGACUUACAAGUCAGGUUAACAAAUUGUUAGUAAAAUAUGCUCUAUUUUACCUUGAAAAAUGUCAUCUCAAUGUGACAGAAAAACAAAUGUGUUAAGUUUUGGUUUCUAUAUGUUUCAAGGUCAGCAAAAUAUGAAUGAGGACGGUAUUUAUUUAUUAUUGUGUAUGUUUGGGUGUCCUCUUGGGGGGCCAGCUGGGUUGGAGACAUAAAAAAUAAGGGCAUACAUAACAUAUAAAUUGUUA